AAUGAAUGUUGGCGGCGUGGAUUAGGCAUGCAAGUCGAGCGAGAAUCGUAGCAAUACGAGGACAGCGGCGAAAGGGAGAGGAAUACGUAGAAAUCUACCCAUGAGACCGGGAUAGCGUCGGGAAACUGGCAGUAAUACCGGAUAAUGUCUUAGGACCAAAGGUUUGAUUCCACUUGGGGAUGAGUCUACGCCCUAAUAGCUAUUUGGUGGGGUAAUGGCCUACCAAGGGGAUGAUGGGUAGCGGGUGAGAGAGCAUGACCCGCCUCACUGGGACUGAGAACUGCCCAGACACCUACGGGUGGCUGCAGUCGAGAAUCUUUGUCAAUGGACGAAAGUCUGAACAAGCGACGCCGCGUGCGGGGUGAAGGCCUUCGGGUUGUAAACCGCUGUCGUAGGGGAACAAAUGUACGGGGGUACUCCCCUGUAUUUGAGUGAUCCUAGGAGGAAGGAGAGGCUAAGCUCG
RNAcentral lists this ribosomal RNA (463 nucleotides) under uncultured bacterium. RNAcentral's name for it is "partial 16S ribosomal RNA". It matches the Rfam family "Bacterial small subunit ribosomal RNA", at positions 29 to 505 of the family's 1533-position model. The record is from RNAcentral.